GGGCGAAAGCCUGACCCAGCAACGCCGCGUGUGCGAUGAAGGCCUUCGGGUCGUAAAGCACUUUUCUGGGAGAUGAGAAAGGACAGUAUCCCAGGAAUAAGUCUCGGCUAACUACGUGCCAGCAGCCGCGGUAAAACGUAGGAGGCGAGCGUUAUCCGGAUUCACUGGGCGUAAAGCGCGUGCAGGUGGCGCGGUAAGUUGGGCGUGAAAUCUCCCGGCUCAACUGGGAGAGGUCGUCCAAUACUACCGUGCUUGAGAGCAGAAGAGGAAGAUGGAAUUCCCGGUGUAGUGGUGAAAUGCGUAGAUAUCGGGAGGAACACCAGUGGCGAAGGCGAUCUUCUGGUCUGUUUCUGACACUCAGACGCGACAGCUAGGGUAGUAAACGGGAUUAGAGACCCCGGUAAUCCUAGCCGUAAACGAUGUGAACUUGGCGUUGGUGGGUUAAACUCCAUCAGUGCCGUAGCAAACGCGAUAAGUUCACCGCCUGGGGACUACGGCCGCAAGGUUA
Molecule: ribosomal RNA, 508 nt
Filed under: uncultured Chloroflexota bacterium
Lineage: Bacteria; Bacillati; Chloroflexota
Description: bacterial SSU rRNA
Rfam family: Bacterial small subunit ribosomal RNA
Source: RNAcentral